Molecule: ribosomal RNA, 468 nt
Filed under: uncultured bacterium
Lineage: Bacteria
Description: partial 16S ribosomal RNA
Rfam family: Bacterial small subunit ribosomal RNA
Source: RNAcentral
GACGAACGCUGGCGGCGUGCUUAACACAUGCAAGUCGAACGGAAAGGCCCUGCUUUUGUGGGGUGCUCGAGUGGCGAACGGGUGAGUAACACGUGAGUAACCUGCCCUUGACUUUGGGAUAACUUCAGGAAACUGGGGCUAAUACCGGAUAGGAGCUCCUGCUGCAUGGUGGGGGUGGGAAAGUUUCGGCGGUUGGGGAUGGACUCGCGGCUUAUCAGCUUGUUGGUGGGGUAGUGGCUUACCAAGGCUUUGACGGGUAGCCGGCCUGAGAGGGUGACCGGCCAAAUUGGGACUGAGAUACGGCCCAGACUCCUACGGGAGGCAGCAGUGGGGAAUAUUGCACAAUGGGCGGAAGCAUGAUGCAGCAACGCCGCGUGCGGGAUGACGGCCUUCGGGUUGUAAACCGCUUUCGCCUGUGACGAAGCGUGAGUGACGGUAAUGGGUAAAGAAGCACCGGCUAACUACGUG